AAGCAGCUUGCUGCUUCGCUGACGAGUGGCGGACGGGUGAGUAAUGUCUGGGAAACUGCCUGAUGGAGGGGGAUAACUACUGGAAACGGUGGCUAAUACCGCAUAACGUCGCAAGACCAAAGAGGGGGACCUUCGGGCCUCUUGCCAUCAGAUGUGCCCAGAUGGGAUUAGCUUGUUGGUGAGGUAACGGCUCACCAAGGCGACGAUCCCUAGCUGGUCUGAGAGGAUGACCAGCCACACUGGAACUGAGACACGGUCCAGACUCCUACGGGAGGCAGCAGUGGGGAAUAUUGCACAAUGGGCGCAAGCCUGAUGCAGCCAUGCCGCGUGUAUGAAGAAGGCCUUCGGGUUGUAAAGUACUUUCAGCGGGGAGGAAGGUGUUGUGGUUAAUAACCGCAGCAAUUGACGUUACCCGCAGAAGAAGCACCGGCUAACUCCGUGCCAGCAGCCGCGGUAAUACGGAGGGUGCAAGCGUUAAUCGGAAUUACUGGGCGUAAAGCGCACGCAGGCGGUCUGUCAAGUCGGAUGUGAAAUCCCCGGGCUCAACCUGGGAACUGCAUUCGAAACUGGCAGGCUUGAGUCUUGUAGAGGGGGGUAGAAUUCCAGGUGUAGCGGUGAAAUGCGUAGAGAUCUGGAGGAAUACCGGUGGCGAAGGCGGCCCCCUGGACAAAGACUGACGCUCAGGUGCGAAAGCGUGGGGAGCAAACAGGAUUAGAUACCCUGGUAGUCCACGCCGUAAACGAUGUCUACUUGGAGGUUGUGCCCUUGAGGCGUGGCUUCCGGAGCUAACGCGUUAAGUAGACCGCCUGGGGAGUACGGCCGCAAGGUUAAAACUCAAAUGAAUUGACGGGGGCCCGCACAAGCGGUGGAGCAUGUGGUUUAAUUCGAUGCAACGCGAAGAACCUUACCUGGUCUUGACAUCCACAGAAGAAUCCAGAGAUGGAUUUGUGCCUUCGGGAACUGUGAGACAGGUGCUGCAUGGCUGUCGUCAGCUCGUGUUGUGAAAUGUUGGGUUAAGUCCCGCAACGAGCGCAACCCUUAUCCUUUGUUGCCAGCGGUUAGGCCGGGAACUCAAAGGAGACUGCCAGUGAUAAACUGGAGGAAGGUGGGGAUGACGUCAAGUCAUCAUGGCCCUUACGACCAGGGCUACACACGUGCUACAAUGGCGCAUACAAAGAGAAGCGACCUCGCGAGAGCAAGCGGACCUCAUAAAGUGCGUCGUAGUCCGGAUUGGAGUCUGCAACUCGACUCCAUGAAGUCGGAAUCGCUAGUAAUCGUGGAUCAGAAUGCCACGGUGAAUACGUUCCCGGGCCUUGUACACACCGCCCGUCACACCAUGGGAGUGGGUUGCAAAAGAAGUAGGUAGCUUAACCUUCGGGAGGGCGCUUACCACUUUGUGAUUCAUGACUGGGGUGAAGUCGUAACAAGGUAACCGUAGGGGAACCUGCGGUUGGAUCACCUCCUUACCUUAAAGAA
This 1476-nucleotide ribosomal RNA is filed under the name Salmonella enterica subsp. enterica serovar Enteritidis. Its description in RNAcentral is "bacterial SSU rRNA". It matches the Rfam family "Bacterial small subunit ribosomal RNA". Lineage: Bacteria; Pseudomonadati; Pseudomonadota; Gammaproteobacteria; Enterobacterales; Enterobacteriaceae. The record is from RNAcentral.